GUAUCAGGAGUGUAACACCAGUCAGAAUUGCCAGAGAUGCAGGAUCGGCAUGUCAACCCAUUGGACACUGAGCUGCCUCCUGGCACUGAAGGCGGCUCUGG
Molecule: long non-coding RNA, 101 nt
Organism: Nanorana parkeri
Lineage: Eukaryota; Metazoa; Chordata; Amphibia; Anura; Dicroglossidae
Exons: 3
Source: RefSeq, a predicted model, not a curated record